This 798-nucleotide ribosomal RNA is filed under the name Triticum aestivum (bread wheat). RNAcentral describes it as "partial small subunit ribosomal RNA". Lineage: Eukaryota; Viridiplantae; Streptophyta; Magnoliopsida; Poales; Poaceae. The record is from RNAcentral.
AUGGGAUCUCUCUCCGGCGUCCUAGCCUUUGCCGUCUUGGCGGCGCUCGCCGCCGGCGGCUUCUGCGCCUCAAACGUGCCACCCGGCCCCGACAUCACGGCGGACUACAACCAGCCGUACCUUCCCGCCAAGGCCACCUGGUACGGCCUGCCCACCGGCUCCGGCCCCGAAGACAACGGCGGCGCGUGCGGGAUCAAGGACGUGAACCUGGCUCCCUACAACGGCAUGAUCGCCUGCGGCAACCUCCCCAUCUUCAAGGACGGCAAGGGCUGCGGCUCCUGCUUCCAGAUCAGGUGCACCAACCAUUCUGCCUGCUCCAAGAAGCCGGUGGGGGUGGUCAUCACGGACAUGAACUACGAGCUCCUCUCGCCCUACCGCUUCGACCUGUCCGGCAGGUCAUUCGGCGCCAUGGCCGAGCCGGGGAAGGAGCAGGAGCUCCGCAGCGCCGGCAUGAUCGACCUGCAGUUCAGGAGGGUGCGGUGCCAGUACGCGCCUGGCACCAAGAUCGUCUUCCACGUGGAGAAGGGCUCCCACGCCAACUACCUCGCGGUGCUGGUCAAGUUCGUCGCCCAUGAAGGCACCAUCGUGCAGAUGGAGAUCAGGGAGAAGAAGUCCAAGCAGUGGAAGCCGAUGGAGCACUCAUGGGGGGCUAUCUGGAGGGUGGGCAGGGUCGAGCCGCUCGUGGGCCCCUUCUCCUUCCGCCUCACCACCGAGUCCGGCAGGAGGCGCAUUGCGCACAAAGUUAUCCCCGCCGGUUGGACGGCCGACACUACCUACAAGUCUGACGUCCAGUUCUAA